This 232-nucleotide non-coding RNA is filed under the name Lactiplantibacillus plantarum. Lineage: Bacteria; Bacillati; Bacillota; Bacilli; Lactobacillales; Lactobacillaceae. The record is from RNAcentral.
GAUUAAAUGUUGAUGAGAAGAGUAACAAUAAGUUGAUGCCUAGCGAGUCAAAGUAGUGGUGUAAUUUGACCAUCAGCUUAUUGUGAAGAUGAACUCGGAGUUGGCUAAUGGUUGAUGCUGUUAGCCCGGAUUGACCACCGAUAAUUGGGUUGAACGUAACGAGUACGUUGCGUGAGCGACAGCAAGACUGUAAUAAUAGGUGGUACCGCGGAGUAUAAACUUCGUCCUUAGU